CCUACGGGGGGCAGCAGUGGGGGAUAUUGCACAAUGGGGGAAACCCUGAUGCAGCGACGCCGCGUGUGGGAAGACGGUCCUCUGGAUUGUAAACCACUGUUCCCAGGGACGAAGAUGACGGUACCUGGGGAGGAAGCUCCGGCUAACUACGUGCCAGCAGCCGCGGUAAUACGUAGGGAGCAAGUGUUGUCCGGAAUUACUGGGUGUAAAGGGAGCGUAGGCGGGAUGGCAAGUUGGGUGUUAAAUCUACCGGCUCAACUGGGAGUCGCACUCAAAACUGCUAUUCUUGAGUGAAGUAGAGGCAGGCGGAAUGCCUAGUGUAGCGGUGAAAUGCGUAGAUAUUAGGAGGAACACCAGUGGCGAAGGCGGCCUGCUGGGCUUUUACUGACGCUGAGGCUCGAAAGUGUGGGGAGCAAACAGGGUUAGAUACCCCUGUAGUC
RNAcentral lists this ribosomal RNA (440 nucleotides) under uncultured bacterium. RNAcentral describes it as "partial 16S ribosomal RNA". It matches the Rfam family "Bacterial small subunit ribosomal RNA", at positions 338 to 795 of the family's 1533-position model. The record is from RNAcentral.